CAGUCGAGCGAAUGGAUUGAGAGCUUGCUCUUAUGAAGUUAGCGGCGGACGGGUGAGUAACACGUGGGUAACCUGCCCAUAAGACUGGGAUAACUCCGGGAAACCGGGGCUAAUACCGGAUAAUAUUUUGAACUGCAUGGUUCGAAAUUGAAAGGCGGCUUCGGCUGUCACUUAUGGAUGGACCCGCGUCGCAUUAGCUAGUUGGUGAGGUAACGGCUCACCAAGGCAACGAUGCGUAGCCGACCUGAGAGGGUGAUCGGCCACACUGGGACUGAGACACGGCCCAGACUCCUACGGGAGGCAGCAGUAGGGAAUCUUCCGCAAUGGACGAAAGUCUGACGGAGCAACGCCGCGUGAGUGAUGAAGGCUUUCGGGUCGUAAAACUCUGUUGUUAGGGAAGAACAAGUGCUAGUUGAAUAAGCUGGCACCUUGACGGUACCUAACCAGAAAGCCACGGCUAACUACGUGCCAGCAGCCGCGGUAAUACGUAGGUGGCAAGCGUUAUCCGGAAUUAUUGGGCGUAAAGCGCGCGCAGGUGGUUUCUUAAGUCUGAUGUGAAAGCCCACGGCUCAACCGUGGAGGGUCAUUGGAAACUGGGAGACUUGAGUGCAGAAGAGGAAAGUGGAAUUCCAUGUGUAGCG
RNAcentral lists this ribosomal RNA (641 nucleotides) under Bacillus sp. AIR-SC-I-11. RNAcentral describes it as "bacterial SSU rRNA". It matches the Rfam family "Bacterial small subunit ribosomal RNA", at positions 59 to 680 of the family's 1533-position model. Lineage: Bacteria; Bacillati; Bacillota; Bacilli; Caryophanales; Bacillaceae. The record is from RNAcentral.